AUGGUUAAGUGACUAAGCGUACACGGUGGAUGCCUUGGCAGUCAGAGGCGAUGAAAGACGUAUUAACUUGCGAUAAGCCCAGAUUAGGUAGUAAAAACCAUUUGAGUCUGGGAUUUCUGAAUGGGGAAACCCACGUGCAUAAGCACGUAUCACUACAUGAAUACAUAGUGUAGUGAGGCGAACCGGGAGAACUGAAACAUCUAAGUACCCCGAGGAAGAGAAAUCAACCGAGAUCCCGAAAGUAGCGGCGAGCGAAAUUGGGUUAGCCCUUAAGCUUUUAAUGAGACAGGUGAAGGCUCUGGAAAGUGCCGCGAUACAGGGUGAUAGCCCCGUAACCGACAUCUCAUCAUCAGUGAAAACGAGUAAGGCGGGACACGUGAUAUCCUGUCUGAAUAUGGGGGGACCAUCCUCCAAGGCUAAAUACUACUGACUGACCGAUAGUGAACCAGUACCGUGAGGGAAAGGCGAAAAGAACCCCUGUGAGGGGAGUGAAAUAGAACCUGAAACCGUGUACGUACAAGCAGUAGGAGCACCUUCGUGGUGUGACUGCGUACCUUUUGUAUAAUGGGUCAGCGACUUAUAUUCAGUGGCAAGGUUAACCGUUUAGGGGAGCCGUAGGGAAACCGAGUCUUAACUGGGCGUUCAGUCUCUGGAUAUAGACCCGAAACCAGGUGAUCUAGCCAUGGGCAGGUUGAAGAUUGAGUAACAUCAAUUGGAGGACCGAACCGACUAAUGUUGAAAAAUUAGCGGAUGACUUGUGGCUAGGGGUGAAAGGCCAAUCAAACCUGGAGAUAGCUGGUUCUCCCCGAAAUCUAUUUAGGUAGAGCCUCGGACGAAUACUACUGGGGGUAGAGCACUGUUAAGGCUAGGGGGUCAUCCCGACUUACCAACCCUUUGCAAACUCCGAAUACCAGUAAGUACUAUCCGGGAGACACACGGCGGGUGCUAACGUCCGUCGUGGAGAGGGAAACAACCCAGACCGCCAGCUAAGGUC
RNAcentral lists this ribosomal RNA (994 nucleotides) under Aliivibrio fischeri SR5. RNAcentral's name for it is "bacterial LSU rRNA". It matches the Rfam family "Bacterial large subunit ribosomal RNA", at positions 1 to 1046 of the family's 2925-position model. Lineage: Bacteria; Pseudomonadati; Pseudomonadota; Gammaproteobacteria; Vibrionales; Vibrionaceae. The record is from RNAcentral.